This 253-nucleotide ribosomal RNA is filed under the name uncultured bacterium. Its description in RNAcentral is "partial 16S ribosomal RNA". It matches the Rfam family "Bacterial small subunit ribosomal RNA", at positions 524 to 776 of the family's 1533-position model. The record is from RNAcentral.
GACGGAGGAUGCAAGUGUUAUCCGGAAUCACUGGGCGUAAAGCGUCUGUAGGUGGUUUGCUAAGUCUGCUGUUAAAGCUUGAAGCUCAACUUCAAAAAUGCAACAGAAACUAGUAGACUUGAGUGUGGUAGGGGCAGAGGGAAUUUCCAGUGAAGUGGUGAAAUGCGUAGAUAUUGGAAAGACCGCCAAAGGCGAAGGCACUCUGCUGGGCCAUAACUGACACUGAGACGCGAAAGCGUGGGGAGCGAACCGG